This is a long non-coding RNA of Branchiostoma floridae (Florida lancelet), 404 nucleotides long. RefSeq lists it as uncharacterized. The record is from RefSeq and is a predicted model, not a curated record. The transcript is spliced from 5 exons. NCBI's taxonomy places the organism in Eukaryota, Metazoa, Chordata, Leptocardii, Amphioxiformes, Branchiostomatidae.
GGAAGUGCUCUAAGUGUGGAGUGGGGCAGACUAAGGCUACGGGACGACACGGAAGGACAGACGUUCACUUUCCAAGUCACUCUCUCACAAGACGGUCGGAUUAUUUUCGUCUAUAAAAAGAUCCCGAAGCCGGUGACGAGUAUAGACGACUCCUCCCACCCCGUCAGGGUCGGGAUCUCUGACGCCUACACGGUGGAGGCGCUGCUGGUGCCAUUCUCAGAUGUGAAUCGGAAGACGUCGACAAUCUACGAGUACCACACCAUAGAGCUGGACAAGGGGAAGGUGACCACAGGGUCGGCCAUUGUGCUGUCGCCACUACCGACAUGUGGCCAGUUCAGAGACUGCAACAGCUGUCUCAGGUCUAAAACAGGCUUCAACUGCCGCUGGUGUCCAUCGCUUCACAG